RNAcentral lists this small RNA (325 nucleotides) under uncultured bacterium. RNAcentral describes it as "bacterial SSU rRNA". The stretch from base 1 to 288 matches the Rfam family "Bacterial small subunit ribosomal RNA", at positions 69 to 355 of the family's 1533-position model. The record is from RNAcentral.
AGAGUUGUAGCAAUACGGCUCUUAGUGGCGAAUGGGUGCGUAACACGUAGGUGACCUGCCCCGAAGUGUGGAAUAACAGUCCGAAAGGACUGCUAAUACCGCAUGUGGUCCCAAGGGUUAGAGGCCUUGGGUCUAAAGUAGUAAUGCGCUUCGGGAGGGGCCUGCGGCCCAUCAGCUAGUUGGUAGGGUAACGGCCUACCAAGGCGAUGGCGAGGUAGGGGACCCGAGAGGGUGGCCCCCCACAUUGGCACUGACUCAUCGGGCCAAACUGAUACGGGAGGCAUCAGCUCAUCUGAUGGUAACUCANUCCUCCCGGAGAUCUGCG